Molecule: ribosomal RNA, 3051 nt
Filed under: Drosophila ananassae
Lineage: Eukaryota; Metazoa; Arthropoda; Insecta; Diptera; Drosophilidae
Description: eukaryotic LSU rRNA
Rfam family: Eukaryotic large subunit ribosomal RNA
Source: RNAcentral
UUAAGCAUAUUAAUUAGGGGAGGAAAAGAAACUAACAAGGAUUUUCUUAGUAGCGGCGAGCGAAAAGAAAUCAGUUCAGCACUAAGUCACUUUGUCUAUAUGGCAAAUGUGAGAUGCAGUGUAUGGAGCGUCAAUAUUCUAGUAUGAGAAAUUAACGAUUUAAGUCCUUCUUAAAUGAGGCCAUUUACCCAUAGAGGGUGCCAGGCCCGUAUAACGUUAAUGAUUACUAGAUGAUGUUUCCAAAGAGUCGUGUUGCUUGAUAGUGCAGCACUAAGUGGGUGGUAAACUCCAUCUAAAACUAAAUAUAACCAUGAGACCGAUAGUAAACAAGUACCGUGAGGGAAAGUUGAAAAGAACUCUGAAUAGAGAGUUAAAUAGUACGUGAAACUGCUUAGAGGUUAAGCCCGAUGAACCUGAAUAUCCGUUAUGGAAAUUCAUCAUUAAAGUUAUAAUAUUUAAACAAUAUUAUACAAAUAAUGUGCAUUUUUUCCAUAUAAGGACAUUGUAAUCUAUUAACAUAUUAAAUUUAUCAUAAAAUAUGGCUUAUAGUUUAUUCAAAUUAUUAUGCUUGCAUUUUAACAUAGAAUAAAUGUCAUUAAUUUGAUAAAGUGUUGAUAGACUAAUAAGAAUACAGUGCGUUAAUUUUUCGGAAUUAUAUAAUGGCAUAAUUAUCAUUGAUUUUUGUGUUUAUUAUAAGCACUUGUAUGAUUAACAAUGCGAAAGAUUCAGGAUACCUUCGGGACCCGUCUUGAAACACGGACCAAGGAGUCUAACAUAUGUGCAAGUUAUUGGGAUAUAAACCUAAUAGCGUAAUUAACUUGACUAAUAAUGGGAUUAGUUUUUUAACUAUUUUAUAGCUAAUUAACACAAUCCCGGGGCGUUCUAUAUAGUUAUGUAUAAUAAUAUUUAUAUUAUUUAUGCCUCUAACUGGAACGUACCUUGAGCAGAUAUGCUGUGACCCGAAAGAUGGUGAACUAUACUUGAUCAGGUUGAAGUCAGGGGAAACCCUGAUGGAAGACCGAAACAGUUCUGACGUGCAAAUCGAUUGUCAGAAUUGAGUAUAGGGGCGAAAGACCAAUCGAACCAUCUAGUAGCUGGUUCCUUCCGAAGUUUCCCUCAGGAUAGCUGGUGCAUUUUAAUGUUAUAUAAAAUAAUCUUAUCUGGUAAAGCGAAUGAUUAGAGGCCUUAGGGUCGAAACGAUCUUAACCUAUUCUCAAACUUUAAAUGGGUAAGAACCUUAACUUUCUUGAUAUGAAGUUUAAGGUUAUGAUAUAUUGUGCCCAGUGGGCCACUUUUGGUAAGCAGAACUGGCGCUGUGGGAUGAACCAAACGUAAUGUUACGGUGCCCAAAUUAACAACUCAUGCAGAAACCAUGAAAGGCGUUGGUUGCUUAAAACAGCAGGACGGUGAUCAUGGAAGUCGAAAUCCGCUAAGGAGUGUGUAACAACUCACCUGCCGAAGCAACUAGCCCUUAAAAUGGAUGGCGCUUAAGUUGUAUACCUAUACAUUACCGCUAAAGUAGAUGAUUUAUAUUACUUGUAAUAUAAAUUUUGAAACUUUAGUGAGUAGGAAGGUACAAUGGUAUGCGUAGAAGUGUUUGGCGUAAGCCUGCAUGGAGCUGCUAUUGGUACAGAUCUUGGUGGUAGUAGCAAAUAAUCGAAUGAGACCUUGGAGGACUGAAGUGGAGAAGGGUUUCGUGUGAACAGUGGUUGAUCACGAGUUAGUCGGUCCUAAGUUCAAGGCGAAAGCCGAAAAUUUUCAAGUAAAAAUAAAAUUUACUAUAUGUAAAAAUUAUAUACUUGAAUAAUUUUGAACGAAAGGGAAUACGGUUCCAAUUCCGUAACCUGUUGAGUAUCCGUUUGUUAUUAAAUAUGGGCCUCGUGCUCAUCCUGGCAACAGGAACGACCAUAAAGAAGCCGUCGAGAGAUAUCGGAAGAGUUUUCUUUUCUGUUUUAUAGUCGUACUACCAUGGAAGUCUUUCGCAGAGAGAUAUGGUAGAUGGGCUAGAAGAGCAUGACAUAUACUGUUGUGUCGAUAUUUUCUCCUCGGACCUUGAAAAUUUAUGGUGGGGAUACGCAAACUUCUCAACAGGCCGUACCAAUAUCCGCAGCUGGUCUCCAAGGUGAAGAGUCUCUAGUCGAUAGAAUAAUGUAGGUAAGGGAAGUCGGCAAAUUAGAUCCGUAAAUAGAGUUUCGAUCAUUUAUGGUUUGUAACUUGUUCCCCGGAUAGUUAGUACGUAUCCAAUUGUGGAACUUUCUUGCUAAAUUUUUAAGAAUACUAGUUGGUCAAACCAAUUAGUUCUUAUUAAUUAUAACGAUUAUCAAUUAACAAUCAAUUCAGAAACUGGCACGGACUUGGGGAAUCCGACUGUCUAAUUAAAACAAAGCUUGUGAUGGCCCUAGCGGGUGUUGACACAAUGUGAUUUCUGCCCAGUGCUCUGAAGUCAAGUGAAGAAAUUCAAGUAAGCGCGGGUCAACGGCGGGAGUAACUAUGACUCUCUUAAGGUAGCCAAAUGCCUCGUCAUCUAAUUAGUGACACGCAUGAAUGGAUUAACGAGAUUCCUACUGUCCCUAUCUACUAUCUAGCGAAACCACAGCCAAGGGAACGGCUUGGAAUAAUUAGCGGGGAAAGAGACCCUUUUGAGCUUGACUCUAAUCUGGCAGUGUAAGGAGACAUAAGAGUUAGAAUAAGUGGGAGAUAUUAGACUUCGGUUUGGUAUCGCCAAUGAAUACCACUACUUUAUUGUUUCCUUACUUACUUGAUUAAAUGGAACGUUAUCAUUUCCAGCCAUUAUACGGAUAUAUUUAUUAUAUCUUAUGGUAUUGGGUUUUGAUGCAAGCUUCUUGAUCAAAGUAUCACGAGUUUGUUAUAUAAUCGCAAACAAAUUCUUUAAUGAGAGAUGCAUUUACUGUAUUAUUGAUUUGAAAAUUUGUAUAACUCCAAUUACUCAGGUAUGAUCCAAUUCAAGACAUUGCCAGGUAGGGAGUUUUGACUGGGCGGUACAUCUCUCAAAUAAUAACGGAGGUGUCCCAAGGCAGCUCAGUGCGGACA